GACGAACGCUGGCGGCGUGCUUAACACAUGCAAGUCGAACGGAAAGGCCCUGCUUUUGUGGGGUGCUCGAGUGGCGAACGGGUGAGUAACACGUGAGUAACCUGCCCUUUACUUUGGGAUAACUUCAGGAAACUGGGGCUAAUACCGGAUAGGAGCUCCUGCUGCAUGGUGGGGGUUGGAAAGUUUCGGCGGUUGGGGAUGGACUCGCGGCUUAUCAGCUUGUUGGUGGGGUAGUGGCUUACCAAGGCUUUUACGGGUAGCCGGCCUGAGAGGGUGACCGGCCACAUUGGGACUGAGAUACGGCCCAGACUCCUACGGGAGGCAGCAGUGGGGAAUAUUGCACAAUGGGCGGAAGCCUGAUGCAGCAACGCCGCGUGCGGGAUGACGGCCUUCGGGUUGUAAACCGCUUUCGCCUGUGACGAAGCGUGAGUGACGGUAAUGGGUAAAGAAGCACCGGCUAACUACGUG
This 468-nucleotide ribosomal RNA is filed under the name uncultured bacterium. RNAcentral's name for it is "partial 16S ribosomal RNA". It matches the Rfam family "Bacterial small subunit ribosomal RNA", at positions 28 to 507 of the family's 1533-position model. The record is from RNAcentral.